UGAGGAAUAUUGGACAAUGGAUGGAAAUCUGAUCCAGCCAUGCCGCGUGCAGGAAGAAUGUCCUAUGGAUUGUAAACUGCUUUUGUAUGGGAGCAAUAAGGUAUUCGUGAAUACCGAUGAGAGUACCAUACGAAUAAGCACCGGCUAACUCCGUGCCAGCAGCCGCGGUAAUACGGAGGGUGCAAGCGUUAUCCGGAUUUAUUGGGUUUAAAGGGUGCGUAGGCGGUUAUAUAAGUCAGCGGUGAAAUUUUUCAGCUUAACUGGAAACAUGCCGUUGAUACUGUAUAGCUUGAAUAUGGUUGCUGUGAGUGGAAUGUGUAGUGUAGCGGUGAAAUGCUUAGAUAUUACACAGAAUAUCGAUUGCGAAGGCAGCUCACAAAGCCAUUACUGACGCUGAUGCACGAAAGUGUGGGGAUCAAACA
This 422-nucleotide ribosomal RNA is filed under the name uncultured prokaryote. RNAcentral's name for it is "bacterial SSU rRNA". It matches the Rfam family "Bacterial small subunit ribosomal RNA", at positions 355 to 774 of the family's 1533-position model. The record is from RNAcentral.